This 1479-nucleotide ribosomal RNA is filed under the name uncultured bacterium. RNAcentral describes it as "16S ribosomal RNA". It matches the Rfam family "Bacterial small subunit ribosomal RNA". The record is from RNAcentral.
AGAGUUUGAUCCUGGCUCAGAAUGAACGCUGGCGGCGUGCUUAACACAUGCAAGUCGAACGAGGNCGUUCCUUNGGGAACAAGUACAGUGGCGAACGGGUGCAUAACACGUGAGAAUUUACCCUUGAGUGAAGAAUACCAUCGAGAAAUCGAUAUUAAUACUGCAUAAUCGGGUUGGUAGAGAUACCAAUUUGGAAAGACGGCCUCUUGCUGUCGCUUAAGGAUGAGCUCGCGGACUAUUAGUUAGUUGGUGGGGUAAUAGCCUACCAAGACUAUGAUGGUUAGCCGGCCUGAGAGGGUGAUCGGCCACAUUGGGACUGAGAUACGGCCCAGACUCCUACGGGAGGCAGCAGUGGGGAAUAUUGCACAAUGGACGAAAGUCUGAUGCAGCGACGCCGCGUGGGGGAUGAAGGUUUUCGGAUCGUAAACUCCUGUUAAGAGGGAAGAAAUAGCCUUGAGUAAUAUGCAAGGAAGAUGACGGUACCUCUAGAGAAAGCUCCGGCUAACUUCGUGCCAGCAGCCGCGGUAAUACGAAGGGAGCGAGCGUUAUUCGGAAUAACUGGGCGUAAAGAGCGUGUAGGUGGCAUUAUAAGUCAGUUGUUAAAUAUCACGGCCCAACCGUGAAAAUGCGAUUGAGACUGUAAAGCUAGAGGGCAGAAGAGAGAAGUGGAAUUCUUGGAGUAGCGGUAAUAUGCGUAGAUCUCAAGAGGAACACCGAUUGCGAAGGCAGCUUCUUGGUCUGUCCCUGACACUCAAAUGCGAAAGCGUGGGGAGCAAACAGGAUUAGAUACCCUGGUAGUCCACGCCGUAAACGAUGAUCACUAGAUGUGGGGAGGGCUUGCCUUUUCCGUGUCGUAGCUAACGCGUUAAGUGAUCCGCCUGGGGAGUACGAUCGCAAGAUUAAAACUCAAAGGAAUUGACGGGGGUCCGCACAAGCGGUGGAACAUGUGGUUUAAUUCGUCACUACGCGAGAAACCUUACCUAGACUUGACAUAUAUUCGCUAUCCAUAGAAAUAUGGAGUUCCUAGUUUACUAGGACGACUAUACAGGUGCUGCAUGGCUGUCGUCAGCUCGUGUCGUGAGAUGUUGGGUUAAGUCCUUUAACGAGCGCAACCCUUACCGUUAGUUGCUACCAUUUAGUUGGGCACUCUAGCGGGACUGCCUGGGGUAACCAGGAGGAAGGUGGGGAUGACGUCAAGUCCUCAUGGCCUUUAUGUCUAGGGCAACACACGUGUUACAAUGGCGAACACAAAGAGGAGCAAUACCGCGAGGUGGAGCAAAUCUCAUAAAAUUCGUCUAAGUUCGGAUUGGAGUCUGCAACUCGACUCCNUGAAGUUGAAAUCGCUAGUAAUCGCAUAUCAGAACGAUGCGGUGAAUACGUUCUCGGACCUUGUACACACCGCCCGUCACACCACGAGAAUUGUCUACACCUGAAAUCACCUUAGCUAACUCUUCGGAGGGGCGGGUGCUGACGGUGUGG